Long non-coding RNA from Lynx canadensis (Canada lynx), 1793 nucleotides. NCBI's taxonomy places the organism in Eukaryota, Metazoa, Chordata, Mammalia, Carnivora, Felidae. The record is from Ensembl.
CAUCCAGGUUUCGAGAACUUUUCUAAUUCCUCAUCUGAUCUGAUCUUCACUGAAGUUUCUCAUCAAGCACACCUGUCUAUCAUUUGUGGGAUCAGCACAAGAGUAUUCAUAGAGGUCGAUUAUACACUAAGCUAAACACUAUGAAAUAAAGUAUGUUCUCUUCUACAUCAAUAAAUAUGUAACCAUAAAGACCUGGAAGUCCAGGUUCAAAUUUAAAUUCUCAGACUCUUCGGACUUCUGUGCUAGAACACAGCAGUGUGGGCAGAGCCACUCCCUAGUCCUUGGACUGUCACCUUCUCUUCCCACGCCCAGAUCUGUCCUAAACCACAAAGACUUUGCUUAUAGAUGUGUGAGCACCCCAGCCUGCAUAUCCAAAAGCUACACAGCCUCUACUCACAAAAAUAGCCAUCCGCUGGUCAUCACUCAUGCCUAGGAGUGCAUACGUUAGUCCAGAGGUUAACCUUUUAAGACAACAGAUAUCAGGCAAAACCAGUGCAAUUCCCUGAAGAAGCCUUGAAGCCAUCUGAGCACAAUAUCUGGGCAUCCUUUGUAACCGGAACAUGUUCUAGAAGGGGUAGUGCAAGAUCCAGGUGGGCAUAUCAUGUAGGUCGACCAACUCUUCAUCCUGUGGACUCUCAAAAACCUAAGACCUCUCUUGCCUGGGACUAUAGACAGUACUGCCAUCAAAUGCUGAGCUCUCUUGGGAAAGUUCUCAGACCCUCGUCACAAAGAGAAACUGUGAUGAUUUGUAAUAUCGUUUGCAUGUAUGUCACCUCUCACUGGACAUAGAGUUGCACCUCAGCUCCUUCGUUCCUCACUACCACAUUCCUGCCAAGACAGAAGAAUCCAAGUCUCUCAAGUACACUCAGCCUCUUUCCCCUAUGGCCACCUGCCAUCCAACACCUUUCCCCACUGGCUCUGGGUUCUGCUGGGAUCUUGGUUACAGGUGCAAAGCCAUAGUGAGGACGAAGAGAGCUGCCGGCCCAACAGUCCCAGACACCCCCACCUGUACCAGAUGUGCCGGCAAAGACUCAGGCAGCUUUUUCCACCACCACAACCAUACAUGGUCUGAUAGCAGUGACCUCAUAGAAGAGCCUAAUUCCCACCUCUUCUCACAAGAGGUUGUACUACCCCAAUGUCCAGCUCCUGCUCCCUGACCCUACAAACCCCUGAACUCGGUAGGAGAAAAGCAUCGUGGUCCACUGGAAAGAUCAGACCUCGAGACUUGGAAUCUAUGCCCUGAUGUUGUCAUAAACUGCACGCACAGAGAAGGACCUGAGGCACAUCACUUCAUUUCUCUGUGCAUUGGUUUCUCUACCAUGUGGGCAUGAGAAAACACAAGACAGGCAGUGGUAAACUGGACAAAAAUGUAAUUUUCCCCCAUGCUUUGACACUGCCUAAGGCAGUUACAGGAUUUAACAGUGGUCGAGUUUAGGACACAAGGAUUGCUACAGGAAUGCUCUCAAAGGACUCAAAGUGAUGAAAAAGGAGAAAUCCCACCUUUCAGCUCUGAAGCCUUGGUGCACCCAGCAGUAAGGUUCCCUCUGAGCCUCUACACAUCCCCAUGUGUUCCCAAUUAAGUUCCAGAAAAUCUUCCACAACACCAGAGUCCUGUUUUUUUUUUUUCCUUUGAAGUCUCACCUGAAGAACAUCCUCUUAUCCCAAAUUCCUCCCUCUAUCUCUAGUUUCAUAUCUUCAUAAGAAAAAAAAAACAUGGGUGGGAUUCAGGGUUCCUCCUCUUGGUCAUUGCAAAACAAUCACAGUAUUUUCUGCUGGCGGAAAACAAAAGACCA